This 544-nucleotide ribosomal RNA is filed under the name Escherichia coli. RNAcentral's name for it is "bacterial SSU rRNA". It matches the Rfam family "Bacterial small subunit ribosomal RNA", at positions 988 to 1532 of the family's 1533-position model. The record is from RNAcentral. Lineage: Bacteria; Pseudomonadati; Pseudomonadota; Gammaproteobacteria; Enterobacterales; Enterobacteriaceae.
CCACGGAAGUUUUCAGAGAUGAGAAUGUGCCUUCGGGAACCGUGAGACAGGUGCUGCAUGGCUGUCGUCAGCUCGUGUUGUGAAAUGUUGGGUUAAGUCCCGCAACGAGCGCAACCCUUAUCCUUUGUUGCCAGCGGUCCGGCCGGGAACUCAAAGGAGACUGCCAGUGAUAAACUGGAGGAAGGUGGGGAUGACGUCAAGUCAUCAUGGCCCUUACGACCAGGGCUACACACGUGCUACAAUGGCGCAUACAAAGAGAAGCGACCUCGCGAGAGCAAGCGGACCUCAUAAAGUGCGUCGUAGUCCGGAUUGGAGUCUGCAACUCGACUCCAUGAAGUCGGAAUCGCUAGUAAUCGUGGAUCAGAAUGCCACGGUGAAUACGUUCCCGGGCCUUGUACACACCGCCCGUCACACCAUGGGAGUGGGUUGCAAAAGAAGUAGGUAGCUUAACCUUCGGGAGGGCGCUUACCACUUUGUGAUUCAUGACUGGGGUGAAGUCGUAACAAGGUAACCGUAGGGGAACCUGCGGUUGGAUCACCUCCUU